RNAcentral lists this transfer RNA (73 nucleotides) under Cyclemys tcheponensis (stripeneck leaf turtle). RNAcentral describes it as "tRNA-Lys". It matches the Rfam family "tRNA". From Rfam's summary of the family: Transfer RNA (tRNA) molecules are approximately 80 nucleotides in length. Lineage: Eukaryota; Metazoa; Chordata; Testudines; Geoemydidae. The record is from RNAcentral.
CACUAUAGAAGCUAAAUAGGAUAGCACUAGCCUUUUAAGCUAGAAAAAGAGAAUUCUCCGCCCUCCUUAGUGA